UAUUCAGUGGAUCCUUCGUGUGUAUAUUUUCAUUUGUUUGAUUCAUCUGUUAUCUUUUAUAAUUGUUUCUCUCAUUCAUGCUUUCUAUUGCUUGAUUAUUUAACAUGUUCAUACUCCCAUGCAUUGUUUAAAUGCUCCAGUAUUUGAUUCUUUGGUUUGAUUAUAUAUUGUUUAUUUAUUCGAUCUGACUGAUAACUGUUGCCUACUUGUAUGAUGUAU
Molecule: long non-coding RNA, 219 nt
Filed under: Lathyrus oleraceus (garden pea)
Lineage: Eukaryota; Viridiplantae; Streptophyta; Magnoliopsida; Fabales; Fabaceae
Description: Pisum sativum (pea) long non-coding RNA (PSAT_LNC028742)
Source: RNAcentral